CCUGAGAGAUUGGGGAGUGCUCGAAAGAGAACCUGCACACAGGUGCUGCAUGGCUGUCGUCAGCUCGUGUCGUGAGAUGUUGGGUUAAGUCCCGCAACGAGCGCAACCCUUGUCAUUAGUUGCUACGAAAGGGCACUCUAAUGAGACUGCCGGUGACAAACCGGAGGAAGGUGGGGAUGACGUCAAGUCCUCAUGGCCCUUAUGGGUAGGGCUUCACACGUCAUACAAUGGUACAUACAGAGGGCCGCCAACCCGCGAGGGGGAGCUAAUCCCAGAAAGUGUAUCGUAGUCCGGAUUGUAGUCUGCAACUCGACUGCAUGAAGUUGGAAUCGCUAGUAAUCGCGGAUCAGCAUGUCGCGGUGAAUACGUUCCCGGGUCUUGUACACACCGCCCGUCACACCAUGGGAGCGGGUUUUACCAGAAGUAGGUAGCUUAACCGCAAGGAGGGCGCUUACCACGGUAGGAUUCGUGACUGGGGUGAAGUCGUAACAAGGUAGCCGUAUCGGAAGGUGCGGCUGGAUCACCUCCUUUCUAG
This 535-nucleotide ribosomal RNA is filed under the name Rugamonas brunnea. RNAcentral describes it as "bacterial SSU rRNA". It matches the Rfam family "Bacterial small subunit ribosomal RNA", at positions 998 to 1533 of the family's 1533-position model. Lineage: Bacteria; Pseudomonadati; Pseudomonadota; Betaproteobacteria; Burkholderiales; Oxalobacteraceae. The record is from RNAcentral.